AUAUUGGUCAAUGGACGAGAGUCUGAACCAGCCAAGUCGCGUGAGGGAAGACUGCCCUAUGGGUUGUAAACCUCUUUUAUAAGGGAAGAAUAAGUUCUACGUGUAGAAUGAUGCCUGUACCUUAUGAAUAAGCAUCGGCUAACUCCGUGCCAGCAGCCGCGGUAAUACGGAGGAUGCGAGCGUUAUCCGGAUUUAUUGGGUUUAAAGGGUGCGUAGGCGGUUUAUUAAGUUAGUGGUUAAAUAUUUGAGCUAAACUCAAUUGUGCCAUUAAUACUGGUAAACUGGAGUACAGACGAGGUAGGCGGAAUAAGUUAAGUAGCGGUGAAAUGCAUAGAUAUAACUUAGAACUCCGAUAGCGAAGGCAGCUUACCAGACUGUAACUGACGCUGAUGCACGAGAGCGUGGGUAGCGAACAGGAUUAGAUACCCUGGUAGUCCACGCCGUAAACGAUGCUCACUGGUUCUGUGCGAUAUAUUGUACGGGAUUAAGCGAAAGUAUUAAGUGAGCCACCUGGGGAGUACGUCGGCAACGAUGAAACUCAAAGGAAUUGACGGGGGCCCGCACAAGCGGAGGAACAUGUGGUUUAAUUCGAUGAUACGCGAGGAACCUUACCUGGGUUUAAAUGGGAAAUGUCGUAUUUGGAAACAGAUAUUCUCUUCGGAGCGUUUUUCAAGGUGCUGCAUGGUUGUCGUCAGCUCGUGCCGUGAGGUGUCGGGUUAAGUCCCAUAACGAGCGCAACCCUUACCGUUAGUUGCUAGCAUGUAAUGAUGAGCACUCUAACGGGACUGCCACCGUAAGGUGAGAGGAAGGCGGGGAUGACGUCAAAUCAGCACGGCCCUUACAC
Molecule: ribosomal RNA, 844 nt
Filed under: human gut metagenome
Description: bacterial SSU rRNA
Rfam family: Bacterial small subunit ribosomal RNA
Source: RNAcentral